UGGGGAAUUUUCCGCAAUGGGCGAAAGCCUGACGGAGCAAUACCGCGUGAGGGAAGAAUGCCUAUGGGUUGUAAACCUCUUUUUUCAGGGAGGAAUAAAAUGACGUGUACCUGAAGAAUAAGCAUCGGCUAACUCCGUG
This 139-nucleotide ribosomal RNA is filed under the name uncultured bacterium. RNAcentral describes it as "partial 16S ribosomal RNA". It matches the Rfam family "Bacterial small subunit ribosomal RNA", at positions 355 to 507 of the family's 1533-position model. The record is from RNAcentral.